RNAcentral lists this unclassified non-coding RNA (266 nucleotides) under Hevea brasiliensis (rubber tree). Lineage: Eukaryota; Viridiplantae; Streptophyta; Magnoliopsida; Malpighiales; Euphorbiaceae. The record is from RNAcentral.
GGGUUCUAACACAGAUUGUAUUGCAAGUGAUUUCAAAUGGAAAAUUAUCACCUUUAGCUCGCAAUAUUGCUUCAGUAGGAAAGGGUACUGCUAAAAACCUGAUGGUUGCAGAAACUGUUGAAGGUUAUGCUUCUCUACUUGAGAAAGUUAUCAGGCUUCCAUCAGAAGUUGCUCUUCCUAAAGCUUUUGUGCAAAUUCCUGCCAAAUUGAAAGAAGAAUGGUGCUGGCAUCGAUUUGGAGCAUUUCUAAAUUUGACAUAUGAAGAC